Molecule: long non-coding RNA, 484 nt
Organism: Thrips palmi
Lineage: Eukaryota; Metazoa; Arthropoda; Insecta; Thysanoptera; Thripidae
Exons: 3
Source: RefSeq, a predicted model, not a curated record
GUUACGACGCUGGCAGGUCGACGGGAGAACAUCGCCUGCGCUGUUCCGUCUCGCAUCGGGCUUUGUGGGCUUUGGCCAGGGCGAAAAGGAUUGUGUGCGGACCCUGCCUCUGCGCGCUGCCGUGGACGCUGCCGUGGACGCGGGCAGACCGACGGACAGCCCCUGCGGACUCUGCACGGAUACCUGAACCGGACGCCCUCUUGGAUACCUUGGAUACCCCCGCCCCUCAAGCCUCGCGCCUCGCGCCCUCACUGGUCACCAGGACCUCGCCGCGUGAUAGUGCACGCGUUCGUGUGUGUUGGUGCGCGUGCGUGUGCGUGCGCGCGUGCGUUCGCCAGUCCGUCGUGUGUCGUGCUUCCUGUCAUCUUCGAGGCUGCAGCGCCUCCGACUAGCUGGGCCGCGACUGCCAUGCUGACUGCGUCGACUGCGUGCCGACCCGCCGCCGAGGCCCGCCCCCUACGCCCCCUGCGCCCCCUACGCCCCC